UGCUCCAACGUGUUGAGAAAUGG
Molecule: unclassified non-coding RNA, 23 nt
Filed under: Mus musculus (house mouse)
Lineage: Eukaryota; Metazoa; Chordata; Mammalia; Rodentia; Muridae
Description: oocyte_clustered_small_RNA12588
Source: RNAcentral